This is a long non-coding RNA of Strongylocentrotus purpuratus (purple sea urchin), 1035 nucleotides long. RefSeq lists it as uncharacterized. The record is from RefSeq and is a predicted model, not a curated record. Lineage: Eukaryota; Metazoa; Echinodermata; Echinoidea; Camarodonta; Strongylocentrotidae. The transcript has 4 exons.
AUCAAGAUCCGGGAGCUUGUACACUGGAAGAGCUUUUGAUGCCGGAUGAGGCGGAAGCAGGAUUCCGUGCCCCCGUUCUAGGAGCUGCCGAUACUCUAAUUUAAGCUUCAAGCUGCUGGUCUGUUGCAUCAAGGAUUUGAUGGAAACCCAAGUUGAUUAGAUGGUGGAUUGAAUUGAAAUACUCCUCCACUCCAUGACUGGAAGAGGAUUGUCAGCUCCCUAUAUCAUCAGAGAGCCCAUUCGUCACCUAAACACUCCCAGCCCCAAAGCCGUCAAAGAAUGCCCCGUCUGCGGAAUACAUGUUGGCAUGUUGGGAGAGUAGAUAGCCACCUUGUCAGUAAGCAUAACUACAAGAGAGGAACAGAAGCAAAAGAGGAGACUCCAGAAGAGAUGAUGCUCGCAUUUACUGGAUAUCUAGAGCAUGCAUCAGGAAUUGCAGGGAGCAGUGCCUUUGCACAUUGUGGCAUGUUGAACAGAAUCCAAGAUAUGGCAGGUGGAUCCCUGAAGUCGGUUUUUACUGAAUCUAAAGUGCUUUUGAAGUAAGUCAUUUCAGGCAUUGCAGGGAGCAGUGCCAUCGCACAUCGUGGAAUGUUGAAAAGAAUCCAAGAUAUGGCAGGUGGAUCCCUGAAGUCAGUCUUCACUGACUCUAAAGUGCUUCUGAAGUAAGUCUUUUCAGGCAUUGCAGGGAGCAGUGCCAUCGCACAUUGUGGGAUGUUGAACAGAAUCUAAGAUAUGGCAGGUGGAUCCCUGAAGUCGGUCUUCACUGACUCUAAAGUGCUACUGAAGGUAGUGAUUUUAAACACUUUACAGAAAACAAUAUAUACAGUUUGAUAUUUAAUUCAUAUUUAAUGAUCAACUGCACCUUACAUUUUCCUUUCACAUACAUAAACAAGAAAAUUUAAAAUGAAAUAUGUACAUACAUUACUUAUCCCAGAAAGGAGUUGGCACCUUCAGAUCUUUACAGCCUGAAAACUUCCAUUUAUAUAUGGAAAGAUCUGAAGAAUUGCCAAUGCACUGUUUUAAUAAUUAUGCAAA